CUGUGUGGAAGCUCCUGCUUUCAAAAUACUUUGUUUCCAUUAUUUUGACAGUUACCUGUACAUUAGUUGAAGAAAAGUUUAAAAUCAAAUCACACUGUGAGAUUAGAGUGAGGUUGAUGGUCAUUUUGCACAUUGCACAAUUAUUUUGCGAUACAAAACUUUUCCCCAGAGUGUAUAUAAAAGGAUGUUUGUGAUAUAUCUUGUUUCUGUUUCACCUCUUAAAUGGUUGUAGAAUCCACUAACAGAACUACACAGGUCUCAAUUUGUUGAUGGAAGGCUGUGUGAUUCCCACCAACAGGUUCCACUUCGAAACAACAGGAAUAAUGAGAAGAAAAAGAGAAGUGUGAAGGAUGUUCAUGCAGAUGCUGCGUUUGUGGAUAAGCACAUGAGUGCACUAAUCAAGAGAGUCACAAUGGUAAUGGCUAUAGCAGAUGACCUACUGGGAGAGGACAUGAUCCAAGAUGAAAUGUAUUCGAUUAUUGAUGUAGCCGAGACCAGUGAGAAAAAAAUGAGAGUUAUGUACAAGGCUCUACGCUCAGGAGGACCACUGAUUAAAUCAGCCUUCUACACAGCUCUCCAAACGAAUGAACCUAAUCUUGUCAAGGACUUGGCUUCCCCCUGAAGACAGACCUGGCUUGGGUUGGUCCUCAAGUGCUGGACAAAGGGCAGCAGGCAGUCUCACCGGCUGUGGGACAGCAGCGGAGUUACUAUCCUCCUAAUGCCCCUAUAGGUGUCGGGGGAUAUAAUCAACUAGCUCUAUCAUCCUCUUUUGUUGUUGUGGCUUUAUGCUAACUGAAAUAUGCGCUCUUGCAAUCUGCUAUAGCCUGGUACUUUGUUUUCCUCAGAAUGUUUUGUGUGUUUUGUUUUUAUCAAACCCAUCUUUAGUGUUCUUACUGUAUGUGUAAGGGAAAAUUACAACACAAAACUGGUUAAAUAUGAUGUUAGUUAAAAAAACUUGUGCAUGCAUAAAUACUUGAGGACAACAGAGGGACAAACAGGUUGAGUAGCAUAUAUGCUUGUUAAUUGAUUUAUGCAUUAUUUUAAAUAUUUGGUAUAUAAUACAAUCAUGAAAAGUUUGUCACAAUUUAUUUGACCAGAGGACAAUACCAGUGGAAACAGUGCCAUGAAG
Molecule: long non-coding RNA, 1129 nt
Organism: Oncorhynchus nerka (sockeye salmon)
Lineage: Eukaryota; Metazoa; Chordata; Actinopteri; Salmoniformes; Salmonidae
Exons: 3
Source: RefSeq, a predicted model, not a curated record